Molecule: long non-coding RNA, 4140 nt
Filed under: Oncorhynchus kisutch (coho salmon)
Lineage: Eukaryota; Metazoa; Chordata; Actinopteri; Salmoniformes; Salmonidae
Description: lncRNA (ENSOKIG00005049050.1)
Source: RNAcentral
ACUGCAUUUGUGAUGACAUGGAGAUUAGGAAUAGGAUUAACUUCUAACAGCUAUAAUAGCCUUAUCAACUGUCACUCCCUUUGAAAGGAAAGGAUUCAUCUAGAAUGGGAGAGAAGCCCGAUCACAACAAAUGGGAAAGAUAAAAUCAAAAUCCCACACCGUAAAAUGUCACGUUGACGUUCGUUCAAGAAAAUGUAGUCGAUACCGUCUUGAAAUAUUUUAACCAUCUAUAAUAUAUUUAGAAUAUCUAUUGAAAUACUGGCCAGUGCUAUGGCCAGUUGGUGUGUAUCCGCCUCGUUCUCCGGUUGUCGUUUGAGAUAUCUCUCUUGAGACUGUCACAGACUGAAAACAGGCCAUCAUAUCAAGACAAAUCCUGCUGUGGACUAUCAGUGGUGCUCAGGUGCUGAGCGCAACAGAGCUGUUCGGUGCUCCAGCUAGCCUAUGAAACUUUGUUUCAGCAGGGUACUUCACUGGAAAUGAACGAUGACAGUAGACCUAUGAAUGAGUCAUGCCCUGAGUCCCCUAUUCCAGUUAGGUGACAACAAAACAAGAUUCAUUUGUGUCGUCAUCUUUGAGUGUCAUAACACUACAAAAAAAGCUAUAAAACCAAAAGGCUCCUCAUGGUGCUGCACUGUCCCUGGGUGGUGGAGAAGGCUCUGGCGGCAGGGGAUAGGGGUUACCACCAUGCUGUGUACAGAGCGCCGCUGGAUCCAGACACAGCACUACCUACAGGCUUCAAAAAACGGGAGGCUGUGGAAGGAUUUCCGUUUGACAGAAGCCAAUCAACUGAGACCAUACGGUCCUUAAAGCCACGGUGGACUCUGAUGCCCACUUCACACAGCUCAAGAUAACAGAUCGCUCUUCCGAUGAGAUGAGGAUUCAGAGAGAUAAAACCGUGAUGAUCAAGACAAGUCAAGGAAAGUUCAUCAAAAGUGCUCAACUUGUAGGUCUCUACAAUCUGUAAAGGGCUGUAAAUCUUGUAGGUCUCUCUACAAUCUGUAAAGGGGUGUAAAGCUUGUAGGUCUCUCUACAGUCUGUAAAGGGCUGUAAAGCUUGUAGUUCUCUCUACAAUCUGUAAAGGGGUGUAAAGCUUGCAGGUCUCUACAGUCUGUAAAGGGGUGUAAAGCUUGCAGGUCUCUCUACAGUCUGUAAAGCGGUGUAAAGCUUGCAGGUCUCUCUACAGUCUGUAAAGCGGUGUAAAGCUUGCAGGUCUCUCUACAGUCUGUAAAGGGGUAUAAAGCUUGCAGGUCUCUCUACAGUCUGUAAAGGGGUGUAAAGCUUGCAGGUCUCUACAGUCUGUAAAGGGGUGUAAAGCUUGCAGGUCUCUCUACAGUCUGUAAAGGGGUGUAAAGCGUGUAGGUCUCUCUACAGUCUGUAAAGGGGUGUAAAGCUUGUAGGUCUCUCUACAGUCUGUAAAGCGGUGUAAAGCUUGCAGGUCUCUCUACAGUCUGUAAAGCGGUGUAAAGCUUGCAGGUCUCGCUACAGUCUGUAAAGCGGUGUAAAGCUUGCAGGUCUCGCUACAGUCUGUAAAGCGGUGUAAAGCUUGCAGGUCUCUCUACAGUCUGUAAAGGGCUGUAAAGCUUGAAGGAGAAGACGGGUGCUUAAACUGUCUCCCCCAUUGGAACUCCUCAGGAAAGAGAGAGAUCCCAAUAGAAACCAGGUCUAGGUUUCAUCACCUCCUUUUGACGAGGCACUUGUAAUGACAGUUGAUGUAGACAGGAUGCGCGCCCCCACCCUAAAUUGCACUUUAAGCUUUCCAGAAGGUGACGCCUCAUAGCAAGGAUUGAACGUAUGUCAUUCAUGUAAAACGUGUACGGUUAAAGGGGAUGUGGCCGUUUUUAUCUUCAGACUGCACUGUGAUUAUUAUCAGAAUUAAAAACGCACUUUACGUAUGGUACUGUAUACCGUAAGGCUUUAAUGUGCACUCUUGCUGUAAGCUGUGUUUUCUACAUGUUUCGGGAGAGGCCAGAAGUGGUGCUGCUUCCUUCUGCCACGGUUGUGAAGCGGACCAAGUCAGCGUCAGUACAAAUAUGGAUCAUAACCGAGGUGCAGUAUCUUAGCUUAGGGGUAUGUUCAACUGGGCCACUUAUAAGCCCCUCAAUAACCUGCAGAUGGUUGCGCAAUACACAUUUCUACAGAGCAGUAUACUUUGUCUAAGCGCUUUGCUGAUUUUAACCAACAGAAUUGAGCCCAGCUGCAUUAGCUCUUGGCUCGAGUGACUUCUGGCGACAGCAAACUUUUGGUGGUUGUAGGAGUUUGGGAAAGGUUGGCCCGGGGUUCGCUAACCCUCCGCUCUGCGUGGAACCCAGUGGAGAUCAUCUGGUGAGGGUGCCUCGGCUGUUUGCUGUUGAUGUCGUUGUGAUUGUUGUUGUUGUGUACUGGACGGUCCAGGUGAGUUCCAGUUCACCAGGCCUGGAUCCACUCAGUGGGCCGGAUGCAGUGCUUCAUUGUCCUGCACACCAGGCCGUGCUCAUAUCCAUGCGUAACACACGCAGAGGCGCAGGCAGGCAGCAGCAUUCUCAUCUGGGUUUUCACACUUUCCCACCCUAAUGUAUCUACAUUUCACUGUUCAGUGAGCCCCAAAACGAACGGUUCCUUCCCUCCUGCAUGGCAGGUGAAAUUGUAUUAGGUUAGAGGAACCCUAAUUGGUUGAUCCAAUAUGGUAUGUAUUGACUUGGUCACAGCGAAGGCGAAACAGGAAACGCUGUAUCAGUCACAUCAGUAUCACUCUGACUCUACCUGUCAGCUUUGCCAUUAGCCUCCUUUCUUUUCACGAGGCCAAUUGACUGUUGCUGAUCAUACAUGUAACAUAUGAUAGAGCGAUACUCUGCUGGGCUUUACAACGGGUUGUCCAGAGGAUCCGUCGCAUCCUAGUAGAACCCGAAGGCCAAAAACAAGGGCCGUCACGUGGUGAGCGGAGCCGUUUGCCCCUCGAAGCGGAACAGACACCGCAGACGGGAUAUCCCUCAGUUCACUGAUUAGCCUUGUCCUGUUCCUAAUCCUUCCCUCUCGCCGCCGUGCCUGGAGGGCUUGAGAAGAGAUCUGUCCAUGUGAUCCACUGCCCCGUGUCGUCUUUAUCGGCGUGGGCGACACCAUUUUACAUAACGCCACGCCAGUUGAGUCACUUAGUAUGUUCCAAUUAGCCGUGACGCCAUGGACUUGACACACUCUAGAUGGGAGGGAUUCAGACGUAGCACUUAAUAGCAGGCCUAUUCCUUCUGGUAGGAUAUAUCCGCACCCUAGGCCAUGCUAAGCUAAUAGAUAUGCACUGUUCUAAUGCAGUCGGGCAAAGUAACGGUAGACUUCACAGAGUCGUGGUGUGAAACGUGGCUAUUGGUUCAUUACACAAUUGCCCUUUAAUGGCGUUCUCCUCUGGCCUCUGACUGAAACGAGACCCUGUUGGGGGAUGAGGUGUUUCUCAGUGGUCGUGAGGUCAUGGUCGCACCGCUGUCAACGUAAAAGGGAAUAAUAAUACGUCCGAAUGGAAGCUGAACUGUGAAAUCCCAUUCUCCCUGGCUCGGGAGCUCAGUGACUCGGACAGCCGCCUGACGCGAGUGAUCCACGGAGGGGAAGUGUCCCGUUUGUGACAUCGUGUUUCCUCUUCUGCCUCUUUUAACUCUCUCUCUCUCUCUUUCUCUCUCUCUCUUUCUCUUUCUUUCGCUCUCUCUCCUCCUCAUCCUCUUGCUGCGCUGUGCUAGACAGGGGAGAUCCUGAGUAAGGCCCUGCCCCAGCUCGGCCUGGCUGUCUCCUCCAUGACAGUCUCUUCUGGAGGACCCGGAGGGCUUCCUCAUACACAGAGGCCCACAUGCUCAACAUACGGAGAAGGUGCCCGCUAUACUUUCAUCUGGUACGUUUUGUCCACAUACACGUAAGUGAAUACAAAUGAAUGGACUUAUUAAUCACUCUGUCUGCCUUCGACCUCUGCAAAUGCACAGGAUCAAAAGGGCAGUCCAUUUCAACGGUGGAGCUUUGGAAAGGUGGCAGCAUUUUUCCAAAGGUUUGUUCUUUAUUAUUAUCAAGUGCCAAUACAAAGGAGGAAAGGAUUCUAAGGAUACCACAAGCAGAAAUUCCUGUACUCCACAUUCUCUCAUUUUUUGCAGUAUUUCUUUUGAAAACCGUAUUUUGAAACUACCUUGUCUC